Molecule: long non-coding RNA, 154 nt
Organism: Thalassophryne amazonica
Lineage: Eukaryota; Metazoa; Chordata; Actinopteri; Batrachoidiformes; Batrachoididae
Exons: 2
Source: RefSeq, a predicted model, not a curated record
UAUGACAACAUUAUGGGAAAGAACGUUGGUAACCAAAUAUGUAACCAACAAGGUUGGGGGAACAUCAGGAGCACGUCUAGGGAACCAAAUAUGUAACCAACAAGGUUAUGGGAACCAUAUGGGAACACUGAGGGAACAAACAUGACAUGAACAA